This 484-nucleotide ribosomal RNA is filed under the name uncultured bacterium. RNAcentral's name for it is "partial 16S ribosomal RNA". It matches the Rfam family "Bacterial small subunit ribosomal RNA", at positions 30 to 507 of the family's 1533-position model. The record is from RNAcentral.
AUUGAACGCUGGCGGCAGGCCUAACACAUGCAAGUCGAGCGGAUGAAGGGAGCUUGCUCCUGGAUUCAGCGGCGGACGGGUGAGUAAUGCCUAGAAAUCUGCCUGGUAGUGGGGGAUAACGUCCGGAAACGGGCGCUAAUACCGCAUACGCCCUGAGGGAGAAAGUGGGGGAUCUUCGGACCUCACGCUAUCAGAUGAGCCUAGGUCGGAUUAGCUAGUUGGUGGGGUAAAGGCCUACCAAGGCGACGAUCCGUAACUGGUCUGAGAGGAUGAUCAGUCACACUGGGACUGAGACACGGUCCAGACUCCUACGGGAGGCAGCAGUGGGGAAUAUUGGACAAUGGGCGAAAGCCUGAUCCAGCCAUGCCGCGUGUGUGAAGAAGGUCUUCGGAUUGUAAAGCACUUUAAGUUGGGAGGAAGGGCAGUAAGUUAAUACCUUGCUGUUUUGACGUUACCAACAGAAUAAGCACCGGCUAACUUCGUG